AUGUGAAAUUCCAAUUUUUAAUUAAUUUUUCUUUGUUUUAUGGGCAAAUAAAUAGAGUUGGUGUAUGGUCUCAAAUGCUGCCAUUUGCAUACUUGUCUUGUAUUGAUUUUUUUAGGUCGCAUCUUUCUACUGGCCUUGAGAACGAUUUAUGUUAUACUUUAAACGUCUCCUUUUUCUUUUAUUUUUAAUUUUUUGCUAAGUUACUUGCAUUAAAUUUGUCAAGAAUUUGCCUUUUGUUCUUGGGGUUGAUCAUAUUGCAGCAGUUGAGGAUUGUGCACUAUUUUUAUGUGCAAUAUUUUGGUUCAAUUUAGUUCUGUUGGUAUAGUUCAUUUCAGUUUGGUUAUUCUCUCAACAACAGAGUGUUUGGUUCAAUUAGAAUCCAUUUGAAAUGAAUUCCACUGAUUGUUUGACAUGACGCAACUAGAAUUUAAUUCAUAUUUUCCUUGUUUGGAAACUAG
Molecule: unclassified non-coding RNA, 458 nt
Filed under: Hevea brasiliensis (rubber tree)
Lineage: Eukaryota; Viridiplantae; Streptophyta; Magnoliopsida; Malpighiales; Euphorbiaceae
Source: RNAcentral